AACGAACGCUGGCGGCAUGCCUAACACAUGCAAGUCGAACGAUGCCUUCGGGCAUAGUGGCGCACGGGUGCGUAACGCGUGGGAAUCUGCCUUUCGGUUCGGAAUAACUCAGGGAAACUUGAGCUAAUACCGGAUAACGUCGCAAGACCAAAGAUUUAUCACCGAAAGAUGAGCCCGCGUAGGAUUAGCUAGUUGGUGAGGUAAAGGCUCACCAAGGCGACGAUCCUUAGCUGGUCUGAGAGGAUGAUCAGCCACACUGGGACUGAGACACGGCCCAGACUCCGACGGGAAGCAGCAGUGGGGAAUAUUGGACAAUGGGCGAAAGCCUGAUCCAGCAAUGCCGCGUGAGUGAUGAAGGCCUUAGGGUUGUAAAGCUCUUUUACCCGGGAAGAUAAUGACGGUACCGGGAGAAUAAGCCCCGGCUAACUCCGUG
This 433-nucleotide ribosomal RNA is filed under the name uncultured bacterium. RNAcentral describes it as "partial 16S ribosomal RNA". It matches the Rfam family "Bacterial small subunit ribosomal RNA", at positions 29 to 507 of the family's 1533-position model. The record is from RNAcentral.